UCCGGUUUAGCACCGGCAGUCUUUCCAGAGUCCCCGGCAUUACCCGCUGGCAACUGAAAACGGGGGUUGCGCUCGUUGCGGGACUUAACCCAACAUCUCACGACACGAGCUGACGACAGCCAUGCAGCACCUGUGCAGGAACUCCGAAGAGGGCGCCUGGUUUCUCAGGCGUUUCUCCUGCAUGUCAAGCCUAGGUAAGGUUCUUCGCGUUGCGUCGAAUUAAACCACAUGCUCCACCGCUUGUGCGGGUCCCCGUCAAUUCCUUUGAGUUUUAACCUUGCGGCCGUACUCCCCAGGCGGUCAACUUCACGCGUUAGCUUCGUUACCAAGGAAUAACUUCCCCGACAACUAGUUGACAUCGUUUAGGGCGUGGACUAC
Molecule: unclassified non-coding RNA, 378 nt
Filed under: uncultured bacterium
Lineage: Bacteria
Description: contains 16S-23S intergenic spacer region
Source: RNAcentral